GCCAGUAUGGUAUAGUGGUUUGAACCUUGGACUAUAACUCUGAUGAUCAGGGUUCAAAUCCCCACUCAGCCA
Molecule: non-coding RNA, 72 nt
Organism: Phrynosoma platyrhinos (Desert horned lizard)
Lineage: Eukaryota; Metazoa; Chordata; Lepidosauria; Squamata; Phrynosomatidae
Source: the annotation of a GenBank genome assembly